RNAcentral lists this ribosomal RNA (468 nucleotides) under uncultured bacterium. Its description in RNAcentral is "partial 16S ribosomal RNA". It matches the Rfam family "Bacterial small subunit ribosomal RNA", at positions 28 to 507 of the family's 1533-position model. The record is from RNAcentral.
GACGAACGCUGGCGGCGUGCUUAAUACAUGCAAGUCGAACGAACAGGCCCUGCUCUUGCGGGGCGCUCGAGUGGCGAACGGGUGAGUAACACGCGAGUAACACGUACUUGACAUUGGGAUAAAAUCAGGGAAAAGGGGCUAAUACCGGAUAGGAGCUCCUGCUGCACGGUGGGGGUUGGUAAGUUUCGGCGGUUGGGGAUGGUCUCGAGGCUUAUCAGCUUGUUGGUGGAGUAGUGGCUUACCAAGGCUAUGAGGGGUAGCCGGCCUGAGAGGGUGACCGGGGACAUGGGGACUGAGAGACGGACCAGACUGCUAUGGGAGGCAGCGGUGGGGAAUAUUGCGGAAUGGGCGGAAGCCUGAGGCAGCAACGCCGCGAGCGGGAUGACGGGUUUCGGGUUGUGAACCGCUUUCGCCUGUGAUAAGGCGUGAGUGACGGUAAUGGGUAAGGAAGCACCGGCUAACUACGUG